This 214-nucleotide unclassified non-coding RNA is filed under the name Glomeraceae sp. RNAcentral's name for it is "partial contains 5.8S ribosomal RNA and internal transcribed spacer 2". The stretch from base 1 to 71 matches the Rfam family "5.8S ribosomal RNA", at positions 84 to 154 of the family's 154-position model. The record is from RNAcentral. Lineage: Eukaryota; Fungi; Glomeromycota; Glomeromycetes; Glomerales; Glomeraceae.
GUGAAUCAUCGAAUUUUUGAACGCAAAUUGCGCUUCCUGGCAUCCCGGGAAGUAUGCCUGUUUGAGGGUCAGUAUUAACAAAAAAUCGGGUUGGGUGCAAAUUGUGACGUUUCCGGAGGUGGGGAGAUCUGAACUUAUUUGGUUAAGGGGCGGAAAAUUGACCUUUGUGGCGCAUUUUUAGAGGUACAUAAAUUUUUUUUGUAGUCGGUCAAUU